Molecule: ribosomal RNA, 467 nt
Filed under: uncultured bacterium
Lineage: Bacteria
Description: partial 16S ribosomal RNA
Rfam family: Bacterial small subunit ribosomal RNA
Source: RNAcentral
GACGAACGCUGGCGGCGUGCUUAACACAUGCAAGUCGAACGGAAAGGCCCUGCUAUUGUGGGGUGCGCGAGGGGCGAACGGGUGAGUAACACGUGAGUAACCGGCCCUUGACUUUGGGAUAACUUCAGGAAACUGGGGCUAAUACCGGAUAGGAACUCUUUCUGCAUGGUGGGGGUUGGAAAGUUUCGGCGGUUGGGGAUGGACUCGCGGCUUAUCAGCUUGUUGGUGGGGUAGUGGCUUACCAAGGCUUUGACGAGUAGCCGGCCUGAGAGGGUGACCGGGCACAGUGGGCCAGAGAUACGCGCCAGGCUGCUGAGGGGAGAAGGAGUGGGGGAUAGAGCACGAUGGGCGGAAGCGUGGUGCAGCAACGCCGGGUGUGGGAGGACGGCCUUCGGGUAGUAAAAGGAUUACGUCUGUGACGAAGCGUGAGGAAGGGAAAUGAAUAAUGAAGCCCGGCUAACUUAGGG